This is a long non-coding RNA of Mytilus californianus (California mussel), 2302 nucleotides long. RefSeq lists it as uncharacterized. The transcript is spliced from 2 exons. The record is from RefSeq and is a predicted model, not a curated record. NCBI's taxonomy places the organism in Eukaryota, Metazoa, Mollusca, Bivalvia, Mytilida, Mytilidae.
GUAAUGGUGUUGAUUGACAGGCUAGACCCAGAUUUUGAACUUUAUCGCUAUUGUUUUGAGCAAUCGAUUGCUUGAGGUGUUGCGUGGUAAAACUGCAAAGUGCUAAGUAUUAUCAAUAGUUCAUAUUUCAGCGAUAUAAGAACAAUAUAUUGGGUUAUUGGACAUCAAUUUGUUUGACGACAAUUAAUGAGAGAAACGGUUAUAUUUAUAUAUCAAACUUGAAAGUCUGUGGAUUCAGUCAAUAUUUCAUGACUUUUUUUGACAUUUCAAUCACGUUGGAAAUUUUUAAAAGAUUACAUUUUAAAUUGGAUCUGUCUUUUAUGGAAAAUAAGAAUCCAAUAUUGAAUUAAUUUUUGUGCAUACUGAGUAUUUAUUUUAUAUAAAUAUUAUAUUGAAUUACAAAAGCUAAAGUUAAAUCCAAGAAUGCUACAAGUGGACAUGAGUGCUACGUAAAAGUCUGUCAAUGGAGUAAAAUUCUGUGUAUGGAGUAAAAUGAGGUGCAUAGGAUUUGUAAAAUGGUUUGGAGUAUUAUUACUUCUUGAUUCACUUGUGUUCAAAGUGACUGCAUCGUGUCGAUGGUCAAAUGAGGGAUGUUACGAAAACGAGGAUUGUUGUUCUCAAUCUUGUGAACGAGCACACGAAGGUGCACACAAGAGGUGUUCCAAAAGUGAAAUCAACCAACCAUGCUACGCAGAUUAUAUGUGUGAAGAUGGAUUACAGUGUGGCCGGAAGUAUAAAUGUUGUACGCCAUAUUGGGGAAUAUGUAACUCGAAUGACGAAUGUUGCGAUUCGGAACACUUCUGUAAUUUCCAUAAGGGAUUUACAUAUAAGCGGUGCCUUUUUCCUAGUUUAGCACUUAAGUCCAGAAUUGACACUAAGUUAUUUUCAGUUGUUAUGUUAUUUUGGGUACUACAAUGUAUUAAUCACAGAACAUGACUGAAUAUAUCCUGAAAGUAAAGACAUCUUUUUUACUAUACAAAAAAAAAUUAACUUAAAAUCACAAAAGCCUGCUGUAUUAAUUAUAAAAAUCAAACACAAUUAAAGUUUUAAGAUGAUAAUUGACAACAAAUUUAUUUUCGAUUUGGAUUUUUACCCCGAAAAUUUAUUGAAAAACCAUAAAAUUGAAGUACAGCAAAGAACCCGUCAUUUUAACAACUCGUCAUUUUUUUUUAAACAAGCGAGACGGUUAGAAUAUGAAACCGAUGCCUACAUUGUACGUGUAGGACAUCAAAUUAUAUGACUUUUCCGUUUAAGGUAUAUGGUAAGAAUAUUCGUUUCACAUGCAUUUGUCAGAAGAAAAGAUAGCUCCUUUAAUGUCCUUUCAAAAAAAAAAAAAUCAACCGUACUCGUGUUCUUGCUAACAAAACACAAUAAAUAAAUAUACUGUACAUUCCUUAAUAAAACGAAUGCUCUCAGUUAUUAUGAUAUAUGUAUCUCUCCUGAUACAAAAAGGUUUUAAAAUUUUGAAUCGAGGAAAACGUUUUCUAGGAUUUUUUGCAAGAUGAAUGAUACCAUAAGAUCAAAUCAUUUUUACAAAAAAAAUGUUACCAUGAACUCAAGUCACAUUUCAAUUGCAUUUAGAUAAAACAAAAUAAUCGAUAAAUUCAAUUUCUGCAUUAAUUUUUGUUUGUUGCUAAUCUUUGUAAAAAUCUAAACAGAUUAUUUGCAUCUAUUUGUAAUUAAGAUUUGAUUUUUUCUUCAUUCUUUCCUAAAAGAAAGGAAAAGGUAUCUGUAAAUGAUUUAUAAAAAUAAUUAGAAAAUCUGUGCAAAAAAAUACUCAGAAUUUUCUUUUAAUGCUAAUUAAUGACGAUAAACUUUCAUUCUCUAAAUUACUCUUUAUGUCUCAUUCUGUACAAGUAUGAUCCUCCAAUUUAUUUUUAUAUUGGAGCACUCCCACUUAGGGUUUAUCAGAUGAUGUUAUUCUCUAUGAAAUCAAAAUUUAGUUAUGAACUGCUUUUUUGUAAUUCGCAGUUUCAGAGUAUAAUGCAUACUGGGAAAUAUUUUCAAAAGCGUACAUCAAAACUUUAUAAUUGGUUAAAAACGUUCUAUACAAUGGAAAUUAAACCAAUGACUUAGCGUUAUUUUCACAGUGAAAUUGCACACCGUCCUUUAAAUUAUGAAACGGCAAAUUCCAGUAUUUGUGUAUUCAGUUUUAAAGUCCUGCCACUGUUUAAUUUCCUUUAGUUAGAAUGUAUUUCUUUUAUUGUGACAAUCAAAAAAAUUGUGUUUGUAUGUUUUGUGCCUAUUUGCAUAUUGUUUUUAAAUGAUGCAUAUAUAAUUGUUAUUAAAUUAUUUUAUUGUA